AUCUUCUCAGGCCAAAUGGCAAUACUUAAGAGCUGGAUAACUUUCAAAUUUGUAGGUGCUGGAAGAUACUAAGUAUGUUGGCUUAGUUGAAAUUCUUCAGCUUCUUCAAUUGUCAGAACUAAAUGCUAUUCUGAGAAGGAGCUCUGAUGUCCCCAUGGUAACCAGGGCUCCAUUAAAGGCAUGGCGUCACAAAGCUGUCCUUGUUUGAAGACACUUGGGAAUUUCAGGAUUCUUGACAGUGGUGGCACACAAUGCUCUGGGCAGGAGACUCUGUUUCCACCAACCUAGGCCAUGCACAAAUCUCAUGCCUCAAACGUCUCCAGAGGUCAAAAAUCAGAUACUAGAGUCAGUGAACCAGUGUAUCAUCUUGCUUUUCUCCUAAAAGAGAGAAUUCUACCAACUUCCUUAAGAAGUAAAAGCAACAAUAUAAAAAUAUUAUGGCGUGCUUCAAAGUUUGACUGAAGAGUCUCAUGAGGCCAACACAG
Molecule: long non-coding RNA, 485 nt
Filed under: Macaca mulatta (Rhesus monkey)
Lineage: Eukaryota; Metazoa; Chordata; Mammalia; Primates; Cercopithecidae
Description: lncRNA (ENSMMUG00000058061.1)
Source: RNAcentral